GUUGUGGAUAGAAGAAGGGGCGCCUUUCAGCAACCCCUUUCUACCGAACUGAGGGGAGAAGUACCACCAGUCCUUUGUCGAGGGAUGACGCUUGAAGGUAUAGAAAUUCCUAAACAAAGAAAGCGUCGGCCGAAUUUCAGCUAAACUACAAAGAGAAAAAAAACCCUAUCAAAAACCUAAAGGAGUUCGGCAUGACGGAAGCUAGAGAAAUGUUCAGAAAAUGGAAAAGAGCAACGACAAAGGACGGCAGUGGAAGCCGAAGUCCGGCACAGAAGGCCUCCUGGUACAGGCAGAAGCGACCGAGAGGAGGGGUGCUAGCCCGGUCAGUUGG
RNAcentral lists this long non-coding RNA (331 nucleotides) under Elaeis guineensis (African oil palm). RNAcentral's name for it is "long non-coding RNA (EGUI_LNC029434)". Lineage: Eukaryota; Viridiplantae; Streptophyta; Magnoliopsida; Arecales; Arecaceae. The record is from RNAcentral.